Molecule: non-coding RNA, 93 nt
Filed under: Burkholderia sp.
Lineage: Bacteria; Pseudomonadati; Pseudomonadota; Betaproteobacteria; Burkholderiales; Burkholderiaceae
Description: Glycine sequence
Rfam family: Glycine riboswitch aptamer
About the family: This family represents the bacterial glycine riboswitch. Glycine riboswitches usually consist of two metabolite-binding aptamers domains with similar structures in tandem.
Source: RNAcentral
CAAAGCAGCGCGGGAGAGAUCGUCUGAAGCCAGGGCGACGCCGACGGAGCAACCGCCCCGGAAACUCUCAGGCAAAAGGACCGCGCAGCAGGA